UUACCCGCUGAAAUUUAAGCAUAUAACUAACCGGAAGGAAAAGAAACUAACUAGGAUUCCCUCAGUAAGGGCGACUGAAGCGGGAAGAGAUCACCUUGUGAAUCUGUACAGACCUUGUUCUGUGCCGAGUUGUGGUGUGAAGAAGCAUUCUCUGUCAGCACUCUGGUUUAAGUUCCUUGGAAAAGGACAGCAAAGAGGGUGAAACUCCCGUUCUUGGCUACUGUGUUUGACUUUAGCAGGUGUCUUCAACGAGUCGAGUUGCUUGGGAUUGCAGCUCAAAGUGGGACGUAAAUUCGUUCUAAAUCUAAAUAUUGGUGGGAGACCGAUAGCGUACAAGUACCGUGAGGGAAAGAUGCAAAGAACUUUGAAAAGAGAGUUAAAGAGUACCUGAAAUUGCUGAAAGGGAAGCGAAGGAAACCAGUGCUUAGUUCUACUAUUUUUCUCCUACUGCUUGCAGUUGGGGCGCUGUGGUAGUUCUGAUGCCAGCAUGGGUUGGGCUCGGGAUAAGUAGCCUUGCAGAAGGUGAGUUCUCUGGAACUGAAGACUGCUUGGUGUUAUCUUGGGCUUGACUGAGGCUAGUCACUUGUGCUCGUGAUGCUGGCAAAAUGGUUUUCUUUACCCCGUCUUGAAACACGGACCAAGGAGUCUAACAUAUGUGCGAGUAUAGAAGUGAUAAACUUCCAUGCGUAAUGAAAGUAACAGUGGUAGGACCUUUUGGACACUAUCCACCGGCCACAAUCCUUCGGGAGAAAGGUCUGAGUGUGAGCAUACAUGUUGGGACCCGAAAGAUGGUGAACUUUUCCUGAAUAGGGUGAAGCCAGGGGAAACUCUGGUGGAAG
This 839-nucleotide ribosomal RNA is filed under the name Chaetoceros didymus. Its description in RNAcentral is "partial large subunit ribosomal RNA". It matches the Rfam family "Eukaryotic large subunit ribosomal RNA", at positions 21 to 873 of the family's 3401-position model. Lineage: Eukaryota; Bacillariophyta; Thalassiosirophyceae; Chaetocerotales; Chaetocerotaceae. The record is from RNAcentral.